CCCAAACGUGUGUAUGCACAUAACGAAGGUGCAAUUGUAAUUGUGCGGCUCUCCGGCCUGCCUGGCACGGCCCUUGCUUCCAACAGAAAGCUGACAAUCUCCGCUGCCUGGGCGAAACACAAAGGUCUCCCGUUCUUCCAAGGCUCCGGCCGAUAACGCUGCGCUGGGGAAUUGUGCGAACUCUGUGGCUCCGGAAUACAGAAUUCACAUCACAUGUGCCUGGCGCUGGCAAGGAAAGCUUUCCUUUUACAUGUAGUAGAAAGGCAGCAUGCAAGGUGAUUUGUGAC
Manacus vitellinus (golden-collared manakin) is the source of this 287-nucleotide long non-coding RNA. The record is from Ensembl. Lineage: Eukaryota; Metazoa; Chordata; Aves; Passeriformes; Pipridae.